Molecule: ribosomal RNA, 253 nt
Filed under: uncultured bacterium
Lineage: Bacteria
Description: partial 16S ribosomal RNA
Rfam family: Bacterial small subunit ribosomal RNA
Source: RNAcentral
UACGUAGGCAGCGAGCGUUGUUCGGAGUUACUGGGCGUAAAGGGCGCGUAGGUGGCCUUCUAAGUUGAACGUGAAAUCCCUGGGCUCAACCCAGGAACUGCGUCCAAGACUGGGAGGCUUGAAUCCGGGAGAGGGAUGCGGAAUUCCAGGUGUAGCGGUGAAAUGCGUAGAUAUCUGGAGGAACACCGGUGGCGAAGGCGGCAUCCUGGACCGGUAUUGACACUGAGGCGCGAAAGCCAGGGGAGCAAACGGG